UCCAAUCGAACUCGGAGAUAGCUGGUUCUCCCCGAAAUAGCUUUAGGGCUAGCGUCGGAUAUGUGUAGUGGAGGUAGAGCACUGAAUGGGCUAGGGGGCAUAUCGCUUACCGAACCUUAUCAAACUCCGAAUGCCAUAUACAUUAAGUCCGGCAGUCAGACUACGAAUGAUAAGAUCCGUGGUCAAAAGGGAAACAGCCCAGAUCGUCAGCUAAGGUCCCAAAGUGUAAGUUAAGUGGAAAAGGAUGUGGGAUUUCUAAGACAACUAGGAUGUUGGCUUAGAAGCAGCCACUCAUUUAAAGAGUGCGUAAUAGCUCACUAGUCGAGAGAUCCUGCGCCGAAAAUGUCCGGGGCUCAAACUUACCACCGAAGCUACGGGCUUGCGUAAGCAAGCGGUAGGGGAGCGUCGUAAUCGGGCUGAAGUCGUACCGUAAGGAGCGGUGGACUGAUUACGAGUGAGAAUGUUGGCAUUAGUAGCGAGAUGUAGGUGAGAAUCCUACAGGCCGAAUAUCUAAGGUUUCCUCAGGAAGGCUCGUCCGCUGAGGGUUAGUCGGGACCUAAGCCGAGGCCGAAAGGCGUAGGCGAUGGACAAUCGGUUGAUAUUCCGAUACCACUACCAUCGUUAUUAUCGAGGGUGUGACGGAGAAGGAUAGUGUGUGCUAGCGAUUGGAAAUGCUAGUCUAAGCGUUUAGGGAGUUACGGUAGGCAAAUCCGCUGUAACAAUUCUGAGGCGUGAUGGGGAAGGCCAUAUAGGCCGAAGUACAUGAUUCCAUGCUUCCAAGAAAAGCAUCUAGAGAGAGAAGUAGUGCCCGUACCGCAAACCGACACAGGUAGAUGAGGAGAGAAUCCUAAGGCCGGCGGAAGAAUUGCAGUUAAGGAACUAGGCAAAUUGACCCCGUAAGUUCGCGAGAAGGGGUGCCUGCGAGAGCAGGCCGCAGAGAAUAGGCCCAAGCAACUGUUUAGCAAAAACACAGGUCUCUGCUAAAGCGUAAGCUGAUGUAUAGGGGCUGACGCCUGCCCGGUGCUGGAAGGUUAAGGGGAACACUUAGCGCAAGCGAAGGUGUGAACUUAAGCCCCAGUAAACGGCGGCCGUAACUAUAACGGUCCUAAGGUAGCGAAAUUCCUUGUCAGGUAAGUUCUGACCCGCACGAAUGGCGUAAUGACUUGGGCACUGUCUCAACUGCAAAUCCGGCGAAGUUGUAGUGCGAGUGAAGAUGCUCGCUACCCGCGAUUGGACGGAAAGACCCCGUAGAGCUUUACUGUAGCUUAGCAUUGAGUUUUGGUAUUGUCUGUACAGGAUAGGUGGGAGACUAGGAAACCAGGGCGUCAGCCUUGGUGGAGUCAACCUUGGGAUACCACCCUGACAGUACUGAAAUUCUAACUGGCGGCCAUGAAUCUGGUCACAGGACAUUGUUAGGUGGGCAGUUUGACUGGGGCGGUCGCCUCCUAAAAAGUAACGGAGGCGCCCAAAGGUUCCCUCAGAACGGUCGGAAAUCGUUCGUAGAGUGCAAAGGCAGAAGGGAGCCUGACUGCGAGACCUACAAGUCGAGCAGGGACGAAAGUCGGGCUUAGUGAUCCGGUGGUACCUCGUGGGAGGGCCAUCGCUCAACGGAUAAAAGCUACCUCGGGGAUAACAGGCUGAUCUCCCCCAAGAGUCCACAUCGACGGGGAGGUUUGGCACCUCGAUGUCGGCUCGUCGCAUCCUGGGGCUGAAGUAGGUCCCAAGGGUUGGGCUGUUCGCCCAUUAAAGCGGCACGCGAGCUGGGUUCAGAACGUCGUGAGACAGUUCGGUCCCUAUCCGUCGCGGGCGUAGGAAAUUUGAGAGGAGCUGUCCUUAGUACGAGAGGACCGGGAUGGACUGACCUCUGGUGUACCAGUUGUUCCGCCAGGAGCACAGCUGGGUAGCUAAGUCGGGAAUGGAUAAACGCUGAAAGCAUCUAAGCGUGAAGCCAACCUCAAGAUGAGAUUUCCCAUAGCGUAAGCUAGUAAGAUCCCUUGAAGAACACAAGGUUGAUAGGUCGGGGGUGUAAGCAUGGUAACAUGUUCAGCUGACCGAUACUAAUAGAUCGAGGGCUUGACCAA
This 2081-nucleotide ribosomal RNA is filed under the name human gut metagenome. RNAcentral's name for it is "bacterial LSU rRNA". It matches the Rfam family "Bacterial large subunit ribosomal RNA", at positions 828 to 2925 of the family's 2925-position model. The record is from RNAcentral.